This 252-nucleotide ribosomal RNA is filed under the name uncultured Paenibacillus sp. RNAcentral's name for it is "partial 16S ribosomal RNA". It matches the Rfam family "Bacterial small subunit ribosomal RNA", at positions 524 to 776 of the family's 1533-position model. The record is from RNAcentral. Lineage: Bacteria; Bacillati; Bacillota; Bacilli; Caryophanales; Paenibacillaceae.
UACGUAGGGGGCAAGCGUUGUCCGGAAUUAUUGGGCGUAAAGCGCGCGCAGGCGGCUUGUUAAGUCUGGUGUUUAAGCCCGGAGCUCAACUUCGGGACGCACGGGAAACUGGCAGGCUUGAGUGCAGGAGAGGAAAGUGGAAUUCCACGUGUAGCGGUGAAAUGCGUAGAGAUGUGGAGGAACACCAGUGGCGAAGGCGACUUUCUGGCCUGUAACUGACGCUGAGGCGCGAAAGCGUGGGGAGCAAACAGG